UACGUAGGGUGCAAGCGUUAAUCGGAAUUACUGGGCGUAAAGCGUGCGCAGGCGGUCGGGUGUGUCAGAUGUGAAAUCCCGAGGCUCAACCUCGGAACUGCGUCUGAAACUACUCGACUAGAGUACUGGAGAGGGUAACGGAAUUCACGGUGUAGCAGUGAAAUGCAUAGAUAUCGUGAGGAACACCAGAGGCGAAGGCGGUUACCUGGACAGUUACUGACGCUCAGGCACGAAAGCAUGGGGAGCAAAAGGG
This 253-nucleotide ribosomal RNA is filed under the name uncultured bacterium. RNAcentral describes it as "partial 16S ribosomal RNA". It matches the Rfam family "Bacterial small subunit ribosomal RNA", at positions 524 to 776 of the family's 1533-position model. The record is from RNAcentral.